RNAcentral lists this long non-coding RNA (423 nucleotides) under Bos taurus (domestic cattle). RNAcentral describes it as "long non-coding RNA NONBTAT025233". The record is from RNAcentral. Lineage: Eukaryota; Metazoa; Chordata; Mammalia; Artiodactyla; Bovidae.
UUUCUACAGUUUUGGAGUAUAAGGAUUAGAGAAGCAGAAUGGUAAACAAGCAGAGCAAUACAUCAAAAUGUUUUAUAAGAUGGAGAUUACCUGUACCUACUGAAGGCAGCUGGGAAAGAUCAAGGCUAGAGAUAGAAAAAUAAGAGCGGCAGAGGGCAGGUGUACAAACUGUCUUGAAAGAGCAAACAGGUACUUACUUUCUAAGAAGAAAGUAUAUGAGACUGUACAACUGAGAGGACCGAUGGUGAAUUAUGGUGAAUUAUGCUCUAUGAAUAGGGAAGAAUUGGCUAGAUAAGGUCGUGAGGACAAAAGAAUGUGCUAACUGUUCCAAAGUUAAAUGACCUAGUUGAAGACAGAGGAUUUGUAGACAGUAAGAAUUACAGGAUUUUAUUUCCUUCUAUGUGAUGUAAGGGACAGAUACUC